RNA transcript from Salvelinus fontinalis (brook trout), 3072 nucleotides. RefSeq lists it as uncharacterized. The transcript is spliced from 9 exons. NCBI's taxonomy places the organism in Eukaryota, Metazoa, Chordata, Actinopteri, Salmoniformes, Salmonidae. The record is from RefSeq and is a predicted model, not a curated record.
GAGUAGAGAGGGGAACAGAACAGUAACGUACAGCAACAUGGGGCAGUACAGUGGCUCUAUGGGUGUAACGUUGUUGUGGACUCUGCUGUGGAUAUCUAGAUGUGGUCAGGGACUCUCAGCUGAACAAUUAUCAAAGAAGAUAUUUUUCCUUGCCGAGACCAAUAACAGAGUCACUCUCCAAGUUUCCCCUGCAGUUCCGGAAGGGACAGCGCACCAAUGGAUGUGGACCUCACAUAAUGGCAGACACUCAAACACUUCAGUUGCCCUAAUCACUUCAUCCAUGAAUAGAAAUCCUUCAUGGAACAUACAGGCUCCUUUCUCACAAGGAACAGGAUAUGAUCUUUCUUUCCCCCAAGAAUUUGAAAUUGCUGGAGAGUUUGUGUUCAUGCAAACCAAACCAGCUUCAGUCGUUCUGGAGAGAUUUGAGGUGUUUGUGUUUAAAGUGACACCAAACUAUAAUGGUAAUCAAGUGUAUCUUGGUUCUGAUGUGAGUGUGCGUUGCGAGGUGUCCAGCCUACCAGAUGGGGCCACAUUUCAGUGGGAAAGAGAUGUAGAUUCCACUUCUAACACCACGUUGUUCUACAACAAAACAGCCCAUAUGAUCAUCCACACUGUCGAUCAGAAUUGCCAGGGGAGAUCCAACUGCAAUUUCAGACUGAAUGGAGAGUUGUUGUUUGUAGUUUAUACUACACUGAAUGUGCAAACAGGAAAUAUUUAUUAACAUGAAUGUAAUAUAUUAAUACAUGAAUUUACCAAAUGUUAAAUAUUCAGGAAUAUGGUCCUCAGUAAUACAAAGAUAAGAGUGAUACAAUUGCACUAUACAGGCAAACAAUAUCAUCAGCAUUUUCCCUUUAAUGUUUCUUUUUCCCAGACACAUUUGAUAAACCAUAUCGUCUGUUUCGAGAGAACAGCAACAGCAGUGAGGUGAAGUUGAUCUGCAGAUCUAGUAACAAAUACAGCAGAGCCGCAUGGACCAUGAGCAGAUCAGCAACAUCUGUUACUCUGACUUCAUCGGAAAAAAUCAGAAGGGACCGAUUCUCAUCUCCCCCAUUCAACGGAUAUGAUUUCCCACUGCAUGUCUCACCAGUGACAUUUGAGGAUAGUGGAACGUUCGCAUGUUUCUUUGAUAGCCAUACAUUCAGCUCGGUUAAACUCACAACCUUUCGAGUAUCUGAAUCUGGAGGGCCCCCUGGUGGCCAGCCGGUGGUGCUGACGUGUGAGUUGUCGGAGGUGAGCGGUGAGCCUGUGACCCUGGCCUGGAUGAGGAUGGAGGGGAGCAGGGGGCUGCUGGUCAAACAGGACGUCCUGACAGAGAGUCACCCCAACAGGAUGCUCAGUGUGACCCUGCCCAGCCUCCGUAGGGACCAGCUGCACUGGCAGUGUGGUGUUCACAGAGGGCAUGCUCAGAGCGACAGCCUCCCUGACCCUCACACUCCCCACACAGACAACAAUGUCUUCAAUGACAGGUCAUCAGACUGAUGAUCCUGUCACCAUCGUCAAGCGCACCUUCGCCUCAUGACACUCACCUGGACUCCAUCACCUCCUUAAUUAUCUUCCCUAUAUCUGUCUCUCCCCUUGGUUCUUUCCUCAGGUGUUUGACUGUUUCAUGUCGGUGUGGUGUUUGGGUUUUGUUUUUAUUGUUUUGUUUAUUUAUUUAUUCAAACACUCACUCCCUGUAAUUGCUUCCCGUCUCUCAGCGCACUCGUUAGGCUCUCAUGCCUCCGCCGGCUCGUUGGGCUCUCGCGCCUCUGCUGGAUCGCCUGGCUCUCGCACCUCUGCUGGAUCGCCUGGCUCUCACGCCCCCAGCCGGAGUGACAGGUUCCCGCGCCCCAGCCGGAGUGACAGGUCCCAAGCCCCAGACGGAGUGACAGGUUCCCACGCUUCAGACGGCAUGACCGGUUCGCUCCUGAUCCCCGGGUUCAUCCCUUUUGUCGGCGUCGGGGAGGGAGUACUGUCACGUAUACUCCCUCUCCGGCCUCUAGGUCAUCAGACUGCUGAUCCUGUCACCAUUGUCAAGCGCACCAGCGCCUCAUGACACUCACCUGGACUCCAUCACCUCCUUGAUUAUCUUCCCUAUAUCUCUCACUCCCCUUGAUUCUUUCCUCAGGUGUUAUUGACUGUUUCAUGUCAGUGUGUUUGUGUUUUGUGUUUUUUGUGUUUAUUUAUUAAAACACUCACUCCUUGUACUUGCUUCCCGACUCUCAGCGCACUCGUUACACUUAGCAAAUGGAGUCAGCUGUGUAGUAAGUAUUCACGUAUCUCAUAUCCCAGCAUGUUCUCUCUCAUACUCUUUGUUCAUGUCUUUUUAUUUACCACAGAUAUCCAUCUGCAGACUGUGGUCAUUGUGGCCUGCAUUGCUAUGGUUGUUGCUGGGGUCCUGGUUGGUGCUCUGGUGUUCUACCUGAAGAGGAAGAAGACAGCUGUGACGAACCUACCACUGACCCAGAAGAAUGACCCAGUCUACGAUAACAUCACAGAUCCACGAAGAGACCACGAGAGCCAGAAGUGUCGAACAGGGGAAGAUGAGAAUGAGGAAGUUCAUUACUCUGAAUUUGCUUUGCGUGAACCCAGGUUUGGUGAUCCCAACAGAGUCACAGCAGGGUCAAAUCAGGAAAAUGCUGUGAUCUAUUCAACUCUCAACAUAUAAGGAAACAUGUAUUUCAGAUGGAUAAAAUUACCAUGUUAAGUUUCAGGGAUUGUGUUCCUUAUUUUGACAAUUACUUAAUGUGUAUUAGUCUACAGAGAAAAUGAUACCACAAUACUGAUUGCUUUUGAAAUUAUGCUAUAUGCCAGUUGCCUUUAUUUUAAACCUAUGAGAUUUGUUCAAUUAGUUUAUUAUUCUGCUUUUGAUUCAUGUAUUUAAUGAUACAGUAAUAUAUGCUUACUAAGACUGCCGUGUAAAUACAGCAGCUAGCCCAAUUGGAGGGUUUAAAUUGUAGGAAGGCAAUUUUGGUCUGAAAUAUUUUGAUGGCUUUAACCUACAUUGCAGCCAUGGAUGUAAAUAAUAGUUUUAUAUGUUUGUAGUCUUUCAUGCAUGUGCAUGAAAAGAUAUAUGUUUAAAUAAAAAAUCGA